AUGUCCAGAAGAGUGGAGGUGAUCAUCAACUCCUCAGCUCCGCAGGAUCAGGACGAGCCUCCUCUUCACAUCACAGAGUCGAAGCCCGGAGAGCAUCCAGGAGUGAAGGGCUUCCUGAAGUUCCACCCGGAGGUGCUGGGGUGGCGGGAGAUACUCACCGGUUCCAUGGUGUUAGGACUCGUGUAUUGGAAUUACGAUCUCUGGCUGUUAAUACCGGCUUGCUUUGUGAUUUUAAUAGGAGUUAUAACAGCUAUAGCUGCAUGCACCCGCAACCGCUGUCUGGUGAUCACGUCUCAGGUGCUGAAUCUGCUCAAUAUCUGCAAUGUGGUGACGGCCAUCGUCGCGUUUUUCGUCGUAGUCUUCUUGGGGAUUCUUAGGGAUGCGUUUUUUGGACAUUUACUGCGUGGUCAUUUCCUGAAUGGCCGUUCUGAGAGUAAUCAGUCUCUGCCCGCAAACAUGGCCUUCGUCACCUGUAACAUUCUGGCGCUCAUCUUCUCAUUUCUCAUCAUCAUGACGUUGUGCUGCUGGUGUAAACCGAGAAAGCGUCUGAUGGUCAUCCACAUGAACGCAGCUUCACCUGCAGCGGUCAGUGACGUCAUGGAUCACCCGCGGCCAGUAUCUUCCCCCCCGGCCUACAGUCCGGUCCCGUCUUCAGAUCCGCCAGACUACGAGGAGGAACGACGCUCGAUGCUCUCUGGAGUUUCUGCUCAGAAGUGGGCCUCGAGGAAAUGGAAAGAAGAACUGCAGCGCAGCAGAAAAUCCAUCCAAGUCUGACCGGACAGUCAGAUUUCUAUGCUCUAAAGUAGAGCUUUAAUGACCUGUGUUUUAUUUGAGCUCUUGUCGUGUUCUCAGGGCUCAGUUCAGGGCCCUUUAUUAGUAGAAUGUCUAAUAUCAUAACACUAGUUUUCACUUGCAUCAGAUGAACAACACAGAGAACAUCCACUGGUGGAUGCCACAGAACUUUCUGGAAGACAUGGGACCUUUUUGGCUGAAAUGAUGCACAUUAGAUUUUUUUGUGUCCUUGUUUUUAAAAAGCGACCACAUUAGAAAACAUCUUAUGUGGAACUCUGCACAUGUGCAUUAUGAAAUAUUCAGGGUUUCUGCAGGUCUUAAACUGUCCUUCCACAAAUUAAGGCUUAAAAAGGUCUUAAAUCAGAGCAAAAAAAUCUUAAAUUCAUAAAGUCAUGCCAUGAACUGCAAAAAAUUUAUAUCUUCCUCAGUAUUUUUGUUUUGAUUUAAGUUCACAUAUCUAAACAUCCUGAAAUCAAGAAAUGAAGUCUUGCUUUUUUAAGAAAUGUAUCAAUAUGAAGGGAGUUUAUGGGAAAUGAAAAUGUGUUUCCCUGAAUUAAGUUGAUUUUUAUCUGUUGGACUUUGUGUUUUCAUGCUUUGAAGUGUUGCUAAUGUAACUCAUUUGUGUUUAGAACAUAGUGAAGUAACGUGUUCCCUUUCAUUUAUUCCUUUAAUUUUCUUUACUUUGUCUCAGAAAAGUCUUAAACUUGCCUUCAGAGAACUUACAGAAACCCUGAUAUGCAGGAUUUUAGCAUUAUUUGAGGGUAAGAAACAAUGUUUAAGUGAGAUUCUGAAACAGGGUGUUGAAAUGUGAGUAGUUUUAGAGCGUAUUUCAGUAUUUGGAUCAGGAGCUGUACUUGCAUGACUGAAAAAAGCUGUCCCAAGAUGACCACUGAGAUAUUAUUUAUGAUAUUUGCUCACCUGCGGACAGUUAGAAACACAGGAAAAGUGUCUUAAAGUGCUUCUGCAUUCCCUCAAUCUCAGACACGCUCUUCUUAUGUGCUAUGUAACUAUUUAUGUAAUUUUAGUUUCUUAGUUUUCUUUUAAAUGCAUUUGAAUGUACACACAAGCACUUUGUAAAGCGUUUUGAAGAUGCACUUUAAAGUUCAUGUAUUAUUAGUAGUGUUAUUGUUGUACAAAGGACAGUUUCCAAACUCUGCUGGUUUCUCAUCAGAGUUUUGCCAUCUGAUUCAUUCAUGAUCUAUUGGAGAAAUUCAUCAUUUGCUCACCCUCAAGUUAUUCCAGUGAGUUUCUUUCUUAUGUUGAGCACUUUAUUAUAUUGCUGGCAGCCACUGACUUUAAGAGAAUGGAAAGAAACACUAUGAAGUCAAUGGCUACCAGCAACUGUUUGGUUGCCAAAAUUCUUCAAAAUAUCUUCUUUUGUGUUCAACAGAAGAAAGAAACUCAUACAGGGUUGAAACAAGCGGAUGAUGACAGAAUUGUGAUUUUUGGGUGAACUAUUCCUUUAAGGGCCUGAUCAGAUGUUCUUCAGGCCUCACUACUUUGUUCUGACACUAGAGGUCAGUGUCCUCAAUGUUUAGUGACCAACACUUCAUCUACACAUAUUUCUCUUUACACAACUUUAGAACUUCUGGAUUCAUAUAAAUGAUAUAAAAUCCACAAUAUCUGUUUGUUUCAUGUAUUUCCCUUAAUGUAACACACAUUUCUACACACUUCUAGAGUCUAUUCAGAUCUUCAUGCAUCCCAACUCAAGCAUUUUAUACUGAUUUUAGUGAGACCAUUCUUUUUUUUAUUGAUCUAACCUUGUUUGAGUUGCUGUGUCUAGAUUUCUUCUAGACAGUUCUGCUUUUUUUGCAUUUGGAUUGUUUGGUCACAUUUUAGUUUGGGGACCAAUUCUCACUAUGAACUGGUCAUGCAGAACAAGUGCUUUGUAAGUGUUAAUAAAUAGCCAGUGUUCUAGUAGCA
Molecule: long non-coding RNA, 2715 nt
Organism: Cyprinus carpio (common carp)
Lineage: Eukaryota; Metazoa; Chordata; Actinopteri; Cypriniformes; Cyprinidae
Source: Ensembl